Melopsittacus undulatus (budgerigar) is the source of this 412-nucleotide long non-coding RNA. RefSeq lists it as uncharacterized. The transcript has 2 exons. NCBI's taxonomy places the organism in Eukaryota, Metazoa, Chordata, Aves, Psittaciformes, Psittaculidae. The record is from RefSeq and is a predicted model, not a curated record.
CUUCCCAUUCCCUCCCCUCCGCUCCCCGCCUUGCCGCAGCCAUUGGCUCCGGGCCGUCGCCAAGAGACCUACAAUGGGAUAAAUCCUUGUCUGGGAGCAAGUGGAAGAACAGAGCAGCAAUGGAUGUACAUGUAACUUGAACUCACCAACGGCUGAAACAGUCAGAAACCCAGAGCACUGCUUCUGAAAGUGAAAUGCAUCCAGAUGAGCCCGAACUGUGUCAUUUUUAACACAUCCUUUUACCUACGAGUGGGAAGAGAGAAAAGAAAGCUGUAAGAUCAAGGCAAGAAGGGAGCCGAGACUGUAAGUGUGGUAAAGCAGACUGCAGUAAACUCCCCUCUCAUCAGGGAGUGCCCCAGUUUAAUGGGCUCCCUUAUGAAGAAAGUAAUAAUAAAAAGAGUUCAAAAAUCAA